AAGUCGUAACAAGGUUUCCGUAGGUGAACCUGCGGAAGGAUCAUUCAUAAUAAGUGUUUUAUGGCACUUUUUAAAUCCAUAUCCACCUUGUGUGCAAUGUCAGUCGAUCUUCUUCAUGGAGAUUGACCAAACAUCAACCUUUAUUUUUUAACUCUUUGUCUGAAAAAUAUUAUGAAUAAACAAUUCAAAAUACAACUUUCAACAACGGAUCUCUUGGCUCUC
This 222-nucleotide unclassified non-coding RNA is filed under the name Linnemannia elongata. RNAcentral describes it as "Mortierella elongata partial internal transcribed spacer region". The stretch from base 1 to 46 matches the Rfam family "Eukaryotic small subunit ribosomal RNA", at positions 1786 to 1831 of the family's 1831-position model. Lineage: Eukaryota; Fungi; Mortierellomycota; Mortierellomycetes; Mortierellales; Mortierellaceae. The record is from RNAcentral. RNAcentral also lists the same sequence under 2 other names.